This 735-nucleotide unclassified non-coding RNA is filed under the name Hevea brasiliensis (rubber tree). The record is from RNAcentral. Lineage: Eukaryota; Viridiplantae; Streptophyta; Magnoliopsida; Malpighiales; Euphorbiaceae.
AUGAGGUACUUGAGAGGGGGGAACACUUGGAAGCACCACUUUGGAACAAGCUCAAAGUUGCAAUGUCCCAUAUUGUUCAUGAUGUCAACGUAGAGGAUAUAGCCGACUAUUGUUAUGAGCGAUCCCUUCCCCAUAAAGAUGGAGGUCAAUAUUGGGAUGGAAAACAGUAAGAAAUAGAUGAUGUGCUCCGCGAACGGAUGGAUCACAGAUGUGAUAGGUUCGGUGACAAUUGAAGCAUGGUGGUGGGAGUGGUAGCGAGAGUAGAGGUAGUGGUGAUGGAGGGCCCGGUGGAACCAAUAAUAGAGAAACUCGACCGGACCUAUAUGGGCAACAAUGAUGAUUAAGAAGCCAUCAGUGCUCCACCAUGGGAGAAACUUUGCGCUGGGGAUUAAUGUGUAACCGAUGUAGAACAAUAUUCCAUUGAAAAGAACUUGAUCGUCCCAGGUGCGCUCGCGGUCCACCUGCUCGAACUCGAUGGGCUUGUCAACUAUGAGGUGUGGGCUGCGGGCAUUCUGGAAGCGGGAGUAGCUGAUCCAUAGCUGAUUAUGCAACAUUCUCAGUAGGAGGGAGGGGACUACGAGCAUGUAAGUGAUGUCGAUCUCCGACCAGUCCUUUGCCUUUACCACCGUGUAUAGGCUGUGCGCCACCCACGGAGUCAGAAUCACAUACUUGAAGUUGCCAAGCUUCUCCCAUGGCCAGUGAGUGAGCAAUCCAGGACUGGAAGCCAUUAGAGAA